GGCAUGCGAAUUUCCACAUCAGAGCAGAACACAACAAUUUUCCAGAAUUACUUCCUAACUUUUAAAGAAGAUGUCAUGUGGCUAAUGAUAUCGGAUCAGGGUGUAUUAUAGCUCAUUGGAAAGCUAGUCGAACCAUCUUCAGCUCUUAUGAAGGUAUCAAACAUAGAAAACCACACCAACCAGCUCGUAUCAGGUCAUUUGCACAA
RNAcentral lists this long non-coding RNA (206 nucleotides) under Eucalyptus grandis. RNAcentral describes it as "long non-coding RNA (EGRA_LNC001803)". The record is from RNAcentral. Lineage: Eukaryota; Viridiplantae; Streptophyta; Magnoliopsida; Myrtales; Myrtaceae.